UACGUAGGGUGCAAGCGUUAAUCGGAAUUACUGGGCGUAAAGCGUGCGCAGGCGGUUUUGUAAGUCAGAUGUGAAAUCCCCCGGGCUCAACCUGGGAAUGGCAUUGGAUACUGGCUCGCUAGAGUGCGGUAGAGGGUGGUGGAAUUCCCGGUGUAGCAGUGAAAUGCGUAGAGAUCGGGAGGAACAUCUGUGGCGAAGGCGGCCACCUGGACCAACACUGACACUGAGGCACGAAAGCGUGGGGAGCAAACAGG
This 254-nucleotide ribosomal RNA is filed under the name uncultured bacterium. Its description in RNAcentral is "partial 16S ribosomal RNA". It matches the Rfam family "Bacterial small subunit ribosomal RNA", at positions 524 to 776 of the family's 1533-position model. The record is from RNAcentral.